Long non-coding RNA from Octopus sinensis (East Asian common octopus), 154 nucleotides. RefSeq lists it as uncharacterized. The record is from RefSeq and is a predicted model, not a curated record. The transcript has 3 exons. NCBI's taxonomy places the organism in Eukaryota, Metazoa, Mollusca, Cephalopoda, Octopoda, Octopodidae.
GACUCCAGUGCGUAACUGGUACUUAAUUUAUCGACCCCGAAAGGAUGAAAGGGAAAGUCGACCUCGGCGGAAUUUGAACUCAUAACGUAACGCCAGACGAAAUACCGCUAAGCAAUUCGACCGGCGUGCUGACGCUUCUACCAGCUUGGUAAGC